AAUAAACCCUGUUUUUCGUGUCCAACGUUUGACCGUCCGUCUUAUUUGAAAAAAUUAUGAAAAAAAUUAAAAAGAUAAGUCAUGCAUAAAAUAUUAAUCAUAUUUUAUCAUCUAACAACAAUAAAAAUACUAAUUAUAAAAAAAUUUUAUAUAAGACGGACGGUCAAACGUUGGCACGAGGAUUCACGGUUUGUCUUUUU
This is a non-coding RNA of Oryza glumipatula, 200 nucleotides long. The record is from Rfam. NCBI's taxonomy places the organism in Eukaryota, Viridiplantae, Streptophyta, Magnoliopsida, Poales, Poaceae.